UGAGGUAGUAGUUUGUAUAGUUUUGGGAUCACACCAGAUCUGGGAGAUAACUAUACAGUCUACUGUCUUUC
Molecule: microRNA precursor, 71 nt
Filed under: Tetraodon nigroviridis (spotted green pufferfish)
Lineage: Eukaryota; Metazoa; Chordata; Actinopteri; Tetraodontiformes; Tetraodontidae
Description: Tni-Let-7-P2a3b_pre stem-loop
Rfam family: let-7 microRNA precursor family
About the family: This family represents the microRNAs (miRNA) let-7 and mir-98. let-7 was identified from a study of developmental timing in C. elegans, and was later shown to be part of a much larger class of non-coding RNAs termed miRNAs. The extents of the hairpin precursors are not generally known and are estimated based on hairpin prediction.
Source: RNAcentral